This 1077-nucleotide long non-coding RNA is filed under the name Oncorhynchus kisutch (coho salmon). RNAcentral describes it as "lncRNA (ENSOKIG00005009742.1)". The stretch from base 43 to 96 matches the Rfam family "UnaL2 LINE 3' element". Lineage: Eukaryota; Metazoa; Chordata; Actinopteri; Salmoniformes; Salmonidae. The record is from RNAcentral.
ACGAUUGUGAUGGGUUGUUGUCUCACCUAGCUAUCUUAAAAUGAAUACACUAAUUGUAAGUCACUCUGGAUAAGAGCGUCUGCUAAAUGACUAAAAUGUCAUAUAAAAUAUAUUUUUAAAAGUUUAUCAUACUAAUUUGAGUAUCCUGAUUUAAGAUUACUAUGUUACGUCUAGUCUAUGAGACCAGGCUGAAUCGAAGCAGCAAGAUAGGUGGCAGAAUCCUGCAGUUAAACUGGAUUUAACAACAGUGUCCGGCUCUGCCCUCGAAUGAAGAGGAAGAUAAUCGAUUUAUUUUAAUCUUUUUGGUUUGGAUAGGAGUAGCCUAAUAGCAUGCCAGUGAAAGCCAACAUUUUUAUGUGGGCCGUUUACACAGCGGAACCUCGUUUACAUGCUGAUUGAUUUUAGUUCAAUAUGUCUUUAUCUGCAUCUACAACUAUCCCACCUGCGCUGACAGCGGAUCAGCUAACGGUCAUCGUGGCCUCCGUGUCCUGCCUGGUGUUCUUCGUAGUGAUUCUCAUGCUCCUGGUGGUCUUGUACAGGAAAGACCCUUUCUGCUGCAGGGUGUCGAACUACCAGGCCAACCAGCGCUGUACAGAUGCUCCACCCCAGUACAACAGAAGACAGUCUCUAGUGGUGUCUCCCUACAAUGAACAUACUGCUGCCGUGGCCCACGGAAACAUUGGAUCCCAGCUUCCAGGGAGGCUGUUUAUCAUCGGUAAGCCCAGCAGCUAUCACCUGGACGGGAUCCUGCCCCGCCUUCCGUCCUACGAGAGCGUCCGUAAGAAGGACCGUCAGAGACAGAUCCACUCUAUGAUAGCCGACCGCUUUGGUAUCAGCCCCACACAGUCUGAAACGGAGCCUCCUCCGACAUACGAGGAGACUCUUCGCCAGUCCAUGAUCAUCUCCUCUGAAGACCUUCAGUCUGCUGAGGCACUUCCCUCAGACCUCCCUCUCUCCACCUGUAACUCCAGCCUUGAACACACAGUGACCGUAGAUGCGGGAACCCGUCUCUGUCUAGACCAGGAGUUAUUUGAGGGUCGGGAACACUCCUGGUUUUCAACUUCGAAUUUUAACUAG